Molecule: ribosomal RNA, 1035 nt
Filed under: Pseudomonas lactis
Lineage: Bacteria; Pseudomonadati; Pseudomonadota; Gammaproteobacteria; Pseudomonadales; Pseudomonadaceae
Description: bacterial SSU rRNA
Rfam family: Bacterial small subunit ribosomal RNA
Source: RNAcentral
UGCAGUCGAGCGGUAGAGAGAAGCUUGCUUCUCUUGAGAGCGGCGGACGGGUGAGUAAUGCCUAGGAAUCUGCCUGGUAGUGGGGGAUAACGUUCGGAAACGGACGCUAAUACCGCAUACGUCCUACGGGAGAAAGCAGGGGACCUUCGGGCCUUGCGCUAUCAGAUGAGCCUAGGUCGGAUUAGCUAGUUGGUGAGGUAAUGGCUCACCAAGGCGACGAUCCGUAACUGGUCUGAGAGGAUGAUCAGUCACACUGGAACUGAGACACGGUCCAGACUCCUACGGGAGGCAGCAGUGGGGAAUAUUGGACAAUGGGCGAAAGCCUGAUCCAGCCAUGCCGCGUGUGUGAAGAAGGUCUUCGGAUUGUAAAGCACUUUAAGUUGGGAGGAAGGGUUGUAGAUUAAUACUCUGCAAUUUUGACGUUACCGACAGAAUAAGCACCGGCUAACUCUGUGCCAGCAGCCGCGGUAAUACAGAGGGUGCAAGCGUUAAUCGGAAUUACUGGGCGUAAAGCGCGCGUAGGUGGUUUGUUAAGUUGGAUGUGAAAUCCCCGGGCUCAACCUGGGAACUGCAUUCAAAACUGACUGACUAGAGUAUGGUAGAGGGUGGUGGAAUUUCCUGUGUAGCGGUGAAAUGCGUAGAUAUAGGAAGGAACACCAGUGGCGAAGGCGACCACCUGGACUAAUACUGACACUGAGGUGCGAAAGCGUGGGGAGCAAACAGGAUUAGAUACCCUGGUAGUCCACGCCGUAAACGAUGUCAACUAGCCGUUGGAAGCCUUGAGCUUUUAGUGGCGCAGCUAACGCAUUAAGUUGACCGCCUGGGGAGUACGGCCGCAAGGUUAAAACUCAAAUGAAUUGACGGGGGCCCGCACAAGCGGUGGAGCAUGUGGUUUAAUUCGAAGCAACGCGAAGAACCUUACCAGGCUUGACAUCCAAUGAACUUUCUAGAGAUAGAUUGGUGCCUUAACAUUGAGACAGGUGCUGCAUGGCUGUCGUCAGCUCGUGUCGGAGAUGUUGGGGUGCCUAUUACCAG